AAGAAAUGAGAAGAUUGAUAGGUUAUUAGUUUUCUGUUUUGCUAAAUUUUUGUAUAUUUUAUCAAAAUGAGAAGAUGUAGUGUUUAUAGUGUUCUUGUGUUGCUAAAUUUGUAUAUUGUUAUCAAGAAAUGAGAAGAUUGAAUAGUGUUAUUAGUGUUCUUGUUUGCUAAAUUUUGUAUAUUGUUAUCGAAGAAAUGAGAAGAUUGAUAGUGUUAUAGUGUUCUUGUUUUGCUAAAUUUUGUAUAUUGUUAUCAAGAAUGAGAAGAUGAUAGUGUUUAUUAGUGUUCUUUUUUGCUAAUUUUGUAUAUUUUUAUCAAGAAAUGAGAAGAUUGAUAGUGUUAUUAUGUUCUUGUUUGCUAAAUUUGUAUUAUUAUUAUCAAGAAAUGAGAAGAUUGUAGUGUUAUUAGUGUUCUGUUCUAAAUUUUGUAUAUUGUUAUCAAGACAAUGAGAAGAUUGAUAGUGUUAUUAGUGUUCUUGUUUUGGCAAAAUUUUGUAUAUUGUUAUCAGAAAUGAGGAUUGAUAGUGUUAUUAGUGUUCUUGCUUUUUGCUAAAUUUUGUAUAUUGUUAUCAAAGAAAUGAGAAGAUUGAUAGUGUUAUUAGGUCUUGUUUUGCUAAAUUUUGUAUAUUGUUAUCAAGAAAUGAGAAGAUUGAUAGUGUUAUUAGUGUUCUUGUUUUGCUAAAUUUUGUAUAUUGUUAUCAAGAAAUGAGAGAUUGAUAGUUAUUAGUGUUCUUGUUUUGCUAAAUUUUUAUAUUGUUAUAAAGAAAUGAAGAAGAUUGAUAGUGUUAUUAGUUCUUGUUUUGCUAAAUUUUGUAUAUUGUUUAUCAGAAAUGAGAGAUUGAUAGUGUUAUUAGUUUUCUGUUUGCUAAAUUUGUAUAUGUUAUCAAGAAAUGAGAAGAUGAUAGUGUUAUGUAGUUUCUUGUUUUGCUAAUUUUGUAUAUUGUUAUCAAGAAAUGAGAGAUUGGAUAGUUUUUAUUAGUGUUCUUGUUUUGCUAAAUUUGUAUAUUGUUAUCAAGAAAAUGAGAAGAUUGAUAGUGUUAUUAGUGUUCUUGUUUUGCUAAAUUUUGUAUAUUUGUUAUCAAGAAAUGAGAAGAUUGAUAGUGUUAUUGUUCUGUUUUGCUAAAUUUUGUAUAUGUUAGUCAGAAAUUGAGAAGAUUGAUAGUGUUAUUAGUGUUCCUUGUUUUGCUAAAUUUGUAUUUGUUUAUCAAGAAAUGAGAAGAUUGAUAGUGUUAUUAGUGUUCUGUUUUGCUAAAUAUUUGUAUAUUGUAUCUAAGAAAUGAGAAGAUUGAUAGUGUAUUAGUGUCUUGUUUUGCUAAAUUUUGUAUAUUGUUAUCAAAAUGAGAAGGUUGAUAGUGUUAUUAGUGUUCUGUUUUGCUAAAUUUGUAUAUUGUUAUCAAGAAAUGAGAAGAUUGAUGUGUUAUUAGUGUUCUUGUUUGCUAAUUAUGUAUAUGUUAUCAGAAUGUUAUGUUUUAUGCUUGUUGUAAAUUGAUAUGAUCAGAAGAGAAGUUGAUAGUUUAUAGUUCGUCUGUUUGCUAUUUUGUAUAUGUUAUCUAGAAAUGAGAAUGAUUGAUAGUUUAUUAGUCCUUGUUUGCUAAAUAUUGGUAUAUUGUUACAGAAAUGAAAGAUUGAAUGUUAUUAGUGUUCUUGUUUGCUAAAUAGUGUAUAUUUAUCAAGAAAUGAGAAGAUUGAUAGUGUUAUUAGUGUUUUGUUUGCUAAAUUUUGUAUAUUGUUAUCAAAAGAAUGAGAAGAUUGAUGUGUAUUAGUGUUCUUGUUUGCUAAAUUGUAUUGUUAUAAAUGAAAAUUGAAGUGUAUUAGUGUUCUUGUUUGCUAAAUUUUUGUUAUAUUGUUAUCAAGAAAUGAGAAGAUUGAUAGUGUUAUUGUGUUACUUGUUUUGCUAAAUUUUGUAUAUUGUUAUCAAGAAAUGAGAAGAUUGAAGUGUUAUUAGUGUUCUUGUUUUGCUAAUUUUGUAUAUUGUUAUCAAGAAAUGAGAAGAUGAUAGUGUUAUAAGUGUUCUUGUUUUUGCUAAAUUUGUAUAUUGUUGUCAAGAAAUCAGAAGAUGAACGAUGUUUAUUAGUGGUUCUUGUUUGCUAAAUUUUUUAUAUUGUUAUCAAGAAAUGAAGAAGACUCUGAUAGUAGUUAUUAGUCCGUUCUUGUUUUGCUAAAUGUUUUGUAUAUUUUAUCAAACAGAAUGAGAAGAGUUGAAAUAGUGUUAUUAGUGUUCUUUUUUGUAAAUUUGUAUAUUGUUAUCAAGAAAUGAGAAGAUUGAUAGUGUUAUUAGUGUUCUUGUUUUGCUAAAUUUUGUAUAUUGUUAUCAAGAAAUGAGAAGAUUGAUAGUUGGUAUAUAGUGUUCUUGUUUUCUCCAAAAUUUUUGUAUACUUGUUAUCAAGAAAUGAGAAGAUUGAUAGUGUUUUAUACUGUUCUUGUUUGGGGCGAAUUUUGUAUAUUGUGUAUCACAAGAAAUGAGUAAGAUUGAUUAGUGUUAUUAGGUUUUCUUGUUUUGGCUAAUAUUUGUUUAUUGUGUAUCAAGAAAUUGAGAAGAUUGAUAGUGUUAUUAGUGGUUUUGUUUUGCUAAAUUUUGUAUAUUGUUAUCAAAGAAUGAAGAGAUUGAUGUGUUAUUAGUGUUUGUUUUGCAAAGUUUGUAAUUUUUAUCAAAAAUGAGAAGAUCUGAGUAGGGUUAUAUGUCUUGUUUUGCUAAGUUCUAUAGUAUUGUUAGUCAAAGAAAUGAGAAGAUGAAUAGGGUUAUUAGUAUUCUGUUUUUGCUAAAUUGUAUAUUGUUAUUAGAAAUGAGAAUGAACUAGUGUUAAUUUGUCUUGUUUUGCUAAAUUUUGUAUAUGUUAUCAAGAAAUGAGAAGAUUGAUAGUGUUUAUAGUGUUCUUGUUUUGCAAAUUUGUAUAUUGUUAUCAGAAUGAGAAAUUGAUAGUGUUAUUAGUGUUUGUUUUGCUAAAUUUUGUAUAUUUUAUCAAGAAAUGAGAUAGUGAAAGUGUUUUAUUUUUUUUUUGCAAAAUUUUGUAUAUUGUUAUCAAGAAUGAGAAGAUUGUAGUGGUUAUUAGUGUUCUUGUUGCUAAAUUUUGUAUAUUGUUAUCAAGAAAUGAGAAGAUUGAUAGUUUAUUAGUGUUCUUGUUUUGACCUAAAUUUUGUAAUAUUGUUAUUCAGAAAUGAGAAAUUGAUUAGUGUUAUUAGUGUUCGUUGUUUUGCUAAAUAUUGUAUAUUGUUAUCAAGAAUGAGAAAUUGAUAGUGUUAUUAGUGUUCUUGUUUUGCUAUAAUUUUGUAUAUUGUUUCAGAAUGAGAAUAGUUGAUAGUGUAUUAAUUUUGAUGUUCUUGUUGUGCUAAUAUUGUCUAUUGUUAUCAGAAAUGAGAAGCUGUAGUGUUAUUCGUGGUCUUGUUUUGCUAAUUUUGUAUAUUGUUCUAAGAAAAUGAGAAGAUUUGAUAGUUGUUUAUUAGUUGUUCUUUUUUGCUAAAUUUUGUAUUGUUAUCAGAAAUGAGAAGAUUGAUAGUGUUAUUAGUGUUUGUUUUGCUAAAUUUUGUAUAUUGUUAUCAAGAAAUAGAAAUUGGUAGUGUUAUUAGUGUCUUGUUUUGCUAAAUUUUGUAUAUUGUUAUCAAGAAAUGAGAAGAUUGAUAGUGUUUAGUGUUCUUGUUUUGCUAAAUUUUGUAUAUUGUUAUAGAAAUGAAAUUGAAAGUGUUAUUAGUGUUCUUUGUUUUGUAAAUUUGUGUAUUGGUUUAUCAAGAAUAGAGAAGAUUGAUAGUGUUAGUAGUGUUCUUGUUUGCUGAAUAUUGUAUAUUGUUAUCAAGAAAUGGAGGAUUGAAAGAUGUUAUUAGGUCUGUGCUUGGUUUUGCUGAAAUUUUGUAUAUUGUUAGCAAGAAAUGAGAAGAUGAUAGUAUUCAUUAAGUGUUCUUGUUUUGCUAAAUUUGUAUAUUGUUAUCAAGAAAUGAAAGAUUGCUAGUGGUUAUUAGUGUUCGUUUUUUCUAAAAUUUUGUAUAUUUUUAUCAAGAAAUGAGAAGAUGAUAGUGUUAUUAAUGUUCUUGUUUGCUAAAUUUUGUAGUAUAAUUAUCAAGAAUAUGAGGCAAGAUUGAGUAGUGUUUAUAGUGUUUUGUUGGGUUACUAAAUUUGUUCUUGUUAAAAAAAAUAGAAGAUUGAUAGUGUUAUUACUGUUCUGUGUUUUGCAAAAUUUUGUAUAUUGUUUCAAAGAAAUGAGUAGCCUUGAUAGUGUUAUUAGUUUCUGUUUUGCUAAAUUUGUAUAUUGUUUAUCAAGAAAUGAGAAGAUUGAUAGUGUUUUAGGUGUCUUGUUUUGCUAAAUUUGUAUAUUGUUACAAGAAAUGAGAAGAUGAUAGUUUAUUUAGUGUUAUUGUUUUGCUAAAUUUGUAUAUUGUUAUCAAAGAAAAUAAGAAGAUUGAUAGUGUUAUUAGUGUUUCUUGUUUCUAAAUCUAUAUAGUUGUUAUCAAGGAAAUGAGAAAUGAUAGGGUUAUGAGUAUUGCGAGUGUUUUGCUAAUUUGUAUAUUGUAUCCCAGAAAUGAAAGAUUGAUAGUGGUUUAAUUAGUGGUUCAUUGUUUGACCCUAAUUGUGUAUUAUUGUUAUCAGAAAUGAGAGAUUGAUCGUGUUAUUAGUCCUUCUUGUUUUGCUAAAUUUUGUAUAUUGUUAUCAAGAAAUGAGAAGAUUGCAUAGUUUUUAAUUAGUGUUCUUAGUUUGCUAAAUUUUGGUAUAUGUUAUCAAGAAAUGAGAAGAAUUGAUAGUGUUAUUAGUGUAUUUUUUGCAAAAUUUGUAUAUUUUUAUCAAGAAAUGGAGAAGAUUGUUAGUGUUAUGAACUGUCCUUGGUUUUGCCUAAAUUUUGUAAUAUUGUUAUCAGGACAUGAGAAGAUUGAUAAGUGUUAUCAGUGUCUUGUUUUCCUAAAUUUGUAUAUUGUUAUCCAGGAAAUGAGAAAGAUUGAUAGUGUUAUUAGUGUUUUCUUGUUUUGCUAAAUAUUGUAUAUGUUAUCAAGAAAUGAGAAGCUUGAUAGUGUUGAUGUAGUCGUCUUGUUUUGCUAAUUGUGUAUAUUUUAUUCAAGAAAGAGAAGGUUGAUAGUGUUAUUAGUGUUCUUGUUUGUAAAUAUUGUAAUUGUGUUACGAGAAAUGAGGAAGAUUGAUAGUGUUAGUAGGUUUGUUUUGCUAAAUGUCAUGUAAAGGUUGUUAUCAAAGAAAGUGAGAAGAGAUAUUGUUAUUUAGUGUUCUUGUUUUGCUAAAGUUUUGUAUAUUGUUUAUCAGAAAUGAGAAAGAUUGAUAGUGUUAUUAGUGUUCUUGUUGCUAAAUUGUAUAUUGUUAUAAGAAAUGAAAGAUUGGGUAGUGUUCAUUAAGUUGUUCUUGUUUGCUAAAUUUUGUUUGAUUGUUAUCAAGAAAUGAGAAGAUUGAUAGGUUAUUAGUGUUCUUGUUUUGCUGAAAUUUUGUAUAUUUUGUCAAGAAAUUUAGAAUAUUGAACGUGUUAUUAGUGUUCUUGUUUUUUGCUAAAUUUUGUAUAUUGUUCUCAAGAAAAGAGAAGAUUGAUAGUGUUAUAGUGUCUUGUUUUUCUAAUAUGUUAUAAUGUUAUCAAGAAAUGAGAGAUGAAGUAUGUUAUUAGUUUUCUUGUUUUGCUAAAUUUUUGAUUGUUACAGAAUGAGAAGAUUGAAUAGUUUAUUAGUUUCUUGUUUUGGCUAAAUUUGUAUAUUGUUAUCAAGAAAUGAGAAGAUUGAUGUGUAAUAGUGUUCUUUUUUCUAAAUUUUGUAUAUUUAUCAAGAAAUGAGAAGAUUGAUAGUGUUAUUAGUGUUCUUGUUUUGUAAAUUUUGUAUAUAUUCAAGAAUGAGAAGAGUUGAUAGUGUUAUUAGUGUUCUUUGUUUUCUAAAUGUUUAUAUGUUAUCAAGAAAUGAGAAGAUUGAUAGUGUUUACUGUUCUUGUUUUGCAAUUUUGUAUAUUUGUUAUCAAGAAAUGAGAGAUUGAUAGUGUGAUUAGUGUUCUUGUUUGCUAAAUUUGUAUAAUUGUUAUCAAGAAAAUGAGAAGAUUGAUUAGUGUUAUUAGUGUUCUUGUUUUGCUAAAUUUGUAUAUUGUUAUCAAGAAAUGAGACGAUGAUAUGUUAUUAGUGUAUUAGGUUUUGCAAAUUUUUAUAUUGUAUCAAGAAAUAAGAUGAUGUGUAUUAGUGUUCUUGUUUUUGCUAAAUUUGUAUAUUGUUAUCAAAAAUGAGAAGAUUGAUAGUGUUAUUAGUUUCGUUUGCUAAAUUUUGUAUAUUGUUAUCAGAAAUGAGAAGAUUGAUAGUGUUAUUAGUGUUCUUGUUUUGCUAAAUUUUGUAUAUUGUUAUCAAGAAAAUGAGAAGAUUGAUAGUGUUAUUAGUCUUCUUGUUUUGCUAAAUUGUAUAUUAGUUAUCAAGAAAUGAGAAAUUGAUAUAGUUUUAUAGUGUCUUUGUUUGCUAAAUUUUGUAUAUUGUUAUCAAGAAUGAGAAGGAUUGAUAUAGUUUAUUAGUGUUUAUGUUUUGCAUAAAUUUGUAUUGUUAUCAAGAACUGAGUAAGAUGAUAGGUUAUGAUUUGUUCUUAGUUUGCUCUAACAUUUUGUAUAUGUUAUCAAAGAAAUGGAAGAUUGAUAGUGUUAUUAGUGUUCUUGUUUGCUAAAUUUUGUAUAUUGUUAUUCAAAGAAAUGAGAACGAUCUGAUAGUGUAUAUUACGGUUCGGGUGUGUUUUGCUAAUAUUGUAUAUUGUUAUCAAGAAAUGAGUAGAUUGAUAGUGUUAUUAGUUUCUUGUUUGCUAAAAUUUGUAAUAUUGUUAUCAAGAAAUGAGAAGAUUGAUAGUUUAUUAGUGUUUUUUUUUCUAAAUUUUGUAUUUUUUUCAAGAAAUGAGAAGUUGAUAGUGUAUUAGUGUUCGUUGUUUGCUAAAUUUGUAUAUUGUUAUCAAAAAUGAGAAGAUUGAUAGUGUUAUUAGUUUCUUGUUUUGCUAAAUUUUGUAUAUUGUUAUCAAGAAAUAGAAAAUUGAUAGUGUUAUUAGUGUUCUUUUUGCUAAAUUUUGUAUUGUUAUAAGAAAUGAGAAGUUGAUAGUGUUAUGAGUCGUCUGUUUGCUAAAUUUUGUAUAUGUUAUCAGAAAAGAAGUUGAUAGUGUUUAGUGUCUUGUUUGCUAAUUAUUGUAUAUUUAUCAAGAAAUGAGAAGAUUGAUAGUGUUAUUAGUGUUCUUGUUUUGCUAAAUUUGUAUAUUGUUAAUCAAAAAUGAGAAGAUUGAUAUUGUUUAGUGUUUCUUGUUUGCUAAUUUUGUAUAUUGUUAUCAAGAAAUGAGAAGAUUGAAGUGUUAUUAGUGUUCUUUGUUUUGCCUAAAUUUUGUAUAUUGUUAUCAAGAAAUGAGAAGAUUGUAGUGUUAUUAGUGUCUUGUUUUGCUAAAUUUUGUAUAUUGUUAUCAAGAAAUGAGAAGAUUGAUAGUGUAUUAGUGUCUUGUUGCUAAAUUUUGUAUAUUGUUAUCAAGAAAUAGAGAUUGAUAGUGUUAUUAGUGUUCUUGUUUUGCUAAAUUUGUAUAUUGUUAUCAAGAAAUGAGAAGAUUGAUAGUGUUAUUAGUGUUCUUGUUUUGCUAAUUUUGUAAUUGUUAUCAAGAAAUGAGAAGAUUGAUAGUGUAUUAGUGUUCUUGUUUUGCUAAAUUUUGUAUAUUGUUAUCAAGAAAUGAGAAGUUGAUAGUGUUAUUAGUGUUCUUGUUUUGCUAAUAUUUGUAUAUGUUAUCAAGAAAUGAGAAGAUUGAUAGUGUUAUUAGUGUUCUUUUUGCUAAUUUGUAUAUGUUAUCAAGAAAUGAGAAGAUUGAUAGUGUUAUUAUGUUCUUUUUGCUAAAUUUUGUAUAUUGUCUAUCAAGAAAUGAGAAGAUAAUAGUGUAUUAGUGUUCUGUUUUGCUAAUUUUUGUAAAUUUAUUAUCAAGAAUGAGAAGAUUGAUAGUGUUAUAGUGUUCUUGUUUUGCUAAAUUUGUAUAUUGUUAUCAAGAAAUGAGAAGAUUGAUAGUGUUAUUUGUGUUUGUUUGCUAAAUUUUGUAUAUUGUUAUCAAGAAAUGAGAAGUUGAUAGUGUUAUUAGUGUUCUUGUUUGCUAAAGUUUGUAUAUUGUAAUCAAGAAAUGGAGAAGAUUGAUAGUUUAUUAGUGUUCUUGUUUUGUAAUUUUGUAUUUGUUAUCAAGAAUGAGAAGAUUGAUGUGUUAUUAUGUUCUUGUUUUGCUAAUUUUGUAUAUUGUUAUCAAGAAAUGAAGAAGAUUGAUAGUGUUAUUAUGUUCUUGUUUGCUAAUUUUUUAUAUUGUUAUCAAGAAAUGAGAAAUGAUAGUGUUAUUAGUGUUCUGUUUGCUAAAUUUGUAUAUUGUUAUCAAGAAAUAGAAUAUUAGUGUUAUUAGUGUCUUUGUUUUUGCUAAAUUUUGUUAUAUUGUUAUCAGAAAUGAGAAGAUUGAUUGUUAUUAGUGUUCUUGUUUUGCUAAAUUUGUAUAUUGUUAUCAAGAAAUUGAGAGAUUGAUAGUGUUAUUAGUGUUUUUGUUUUGCUAAAUUUUGUAUUUGUUAUCAAGAAUGAGAAGAUUGAUAGUGUUAUUAGUGUUCUUGUUUUGCUAAAUUUUGUAUAUUGCUUAUCAAGAAAUGAGAAGAUUGAUAGUGUUAUUAGUCUUCUUUGUUUUGCUAAAUUUUGUAUAUUGUUAUCAAGAAAUGCAGAAGAUUGGUUUAGUGUUAUAGUGUUCUUGAUUUGCUAAAUUUUGUUAUAUUGUUAUCAAGAAAUGAGAAGAUAUGAUUUAGUUGUUAUUAGUGUUCUUCGUUAUGCAUAAUCUAAUCUCGUAUAUUGUUAUCAAGAAAUUGAGAAGAUUUGAUAGGGCUGUUAUUAAGUUCUUGUUUUGCCUAAAGUUUUGUAUAGUUGUUAUCAGAGAAUGAGAAGAUUUGAUAGUGUUAUUAGUGUGUCUUGUUUUGCUAAUAUGUUAUAUGUAUCAAUGUAAGUGAUAUUUAUAUUCUUCAUAUUUUAAUUUAAGAAAUGAGAAGGAUUGAUAGUGUUAUUAGGUUCUUUUUUGGCUAAAUUUGUAUAUUGUUCAAGAAAGGAGAAAUGAGAGUUAAGUGUUAUAGUGUUCGUUGUUUGCUAAAAUAUUGUUUAUAUUAUCAAGAAUGAGAAGAUGAUAGUGUUAUUAGUGUUCUUUUUGUUUAUGAAGCUAAAUUUUGACCUGACUUAGAUUUCUGAAAAUUGAAACAUUGGAUGGGAUAUUAUGCGCGUUCUGUUUCUCAAAAUGUUUGCUAUCUGAGAUACAACCAACAUAGCAUGAGACGUUCGAUAUUUGAUUAUGAUGGCUUCAAGUGCUUUUCUACACCUGUACUGCCGUUGUAUCAAAAUGUUGAUAUUUGUGCGUACGUGCUUUUUGUACAUUGUAAAAGAGGGAAGUUGAUAAGUGUUAUUUCUUGGUUUCUUGUUUGCAUAACUUAUAUGUUAUAUUGUUAUCAAGAGAAAUGGUAGAUUGAUAGGUGUUAUUAUUGUGUUUGUUUUGGCUAUAAUUUUGUAUAUUAAUUAUUCAAGAAAUGAGAAGAUUGAUAGUGUUAUUACGUUUCUUCUUGUUGUAAAAUGUUUGUAUUUGACUAUCAAGAAAUGAGAAGGAUUGAUGAGUGUAUUAGUUAUGUUCUUGUUUGUUCUUAAAUUUUGAUAUUGUUAUCGAUGAGAAAAUGUUAGAAGAUUGAUAGUGUUAUUAGUUUUCUUGUUUUUAAUCAAAUAAAUUUGCUAUAUUGUUCAUCAAGAAUAGAACGUAUAGUGUUAUACGCUGUCUUUGCAUUCUAACUUAAAAUGGUAAUAUUCGUCACUCAAGAGGGAAUGCAGAUUCGAUGUGUUUUAGAUGUUCUGUUUCUGUAAAUUUGUAUAUUGUUAUCAAGAACAUGAGAAGAUUGAGGUAGUGUUAUUAGUUAUGUUCUUUUUCUAAAUUUGUAUAUUGUUAUCAAGAAAUGAGAGAUUGAUAGUGUUAUUAGUUUCUUUUUUGCUAAUUUUGUAUAUUGUUAUCAAGAAAUGAGAAGAUUGAUAGUGGUUAUUAGUGUUCUUGUUUUGCUAAAUUUGUAUAUGUUAUCAAGAAUGAAGAAGAUUGAUAGUGUUAUUAGUCUUCUUGUUUUGCUAAAUUUUUGUAUAUUGUAUCAAGAAAUGAGAAGAUUGAUAGUGUAUUAGUGUUCUUGUUUGCCUAAAUUUUGUAUAUUGAUAUCAAGAAAUGGAGUAUUGAUACGUGUUAUUAGUGUUCUUGUUUUGCUAAAUUUUUUAUAUUGUUACAAGAAAUGAGAGAUUGAUAGUGUUAUUGUGUUCUUUUGCUAAAUUUUGUAUAUUGUUAUCAAGAAAUGAGAAGAUGAUAGUGUUAUUAGUGUUCUUGUUUUCUAAUUUGUAUUAUUGUAUCAAGAAAUGAGAAGAUUGAUAGUGUUAUUAGUGUUCUUGUUUGAAAUUUUGUAUAUUGGUUAUCAAGAAAUGAGAAGAUUGUAUGAUUAGUGUUCUUGUUCUCAGUAAAAUUUUGGUUAUGUAUAUCAAGAAAUUGAGAAGGCAUGGAAUAGUGUUAUUAUGGUCUUAGGCCUAAAUUUGUAUAUGAUCAAGACAAUUAGGACAUUGAUGCAUGAGUGUUCAUUUCGGCUUUCCUUUGCAUAGAACUUUCCGUAGUCUUGUCUGUAUCAAGAAUGAGCAAAGGAUGAUAGUGUUUUAUUAUUUCUUGUUUUGCUAGUAUGUAUAUUGUUAUCAAGAAAUGAGAGGAUUGAUAGUGCUAUUAGUGGUUCUUGUUUUGCUAAAUUUUGUAUUAGUUAUCAAGAAAUGAGAAGAUUGAUAGUGUUAUUAUGUUUCUUGUUUGCUAAAUUUUGUGUAUAUUGUUAUCAAGAAAUAGAAGGUUAUUGAUAGUGUUAUAGUGUUCUUUGUUUUGCUAAUUUUGUAUUGUUAUCAAGAAAUGAGAGAAGUGAUUAGUGUUAUUAGUGUUUCUUGUUUUGCUGAAAUUUAGUAUUAUUUGUUUAUUCAAGAAACUGAGAGAUUGAUAGUGUUAUUUAGUGUUCAUUGUUUUGCUAAAAUUUGUAUCAUUGUUAUCAAGAAAUGAGAAGAUUUGAUAGUGUUUUAGUGUUCUUGUUUUGCUAAUUUUGUAUUUGUUAUACAAGAAAUGAGAAGGAUUGAUAUUGUUUAUUAGUUCUUGUUUUGCUAAAUUUUGGUAUAUUUUAUCAAGAAAUGAGGAAGAUUGUAGUGUUAUUAGUGUUCUUGUUUUGCUAAAUUUGUUUAUAUUGUUAUCAAAGAAUGAGAAGAUGAUAGGUUUAUUAGUGUUCUUGUUUGCUAAAUUUGUAUAUUGUUAUAUAACAAAGAGAAGAUUGAUAGUGUUAUUAGUGUUUCUUGUUUUUGCUUUUAAAAUUUUGUUAUUUCUUGUUAUUCAAGGAAAUGAGAAGAUUUGAUAAGUGUUAUUAGUUGUUUCUUGUUUCUAAAUUUUGUUUAUGUUAUCAAUUUUGUAUAUUAUUAUCAAGAAAUGAGAAGAUUGAUAGUGUUAUUAGUGUUCUUGUUUUGCUAAAUUUUGUAAAUUGUUAUCAAGAAAUGAGAAGAUUGAUAGUGUUAUUAGUGUUCUUGUUUUGAAAAAUUUUGUAUAUUGUUAUCAAGAAAUGAGAAGAUUGAUAGUGUUAUUAGUGUUCUUGUUUUACUAAAUUUUGUAUAUUGUUAUCAAGAAAUGAGAAGAUUGAUCGUGUUAUUAGUGUUCUUGUUUUGCUAAAUUUUGUAUAUUGUUAUCAAGAAAUGAGAAGAUUGAUAGUGUUAUUAGUGUUCUUGUUUUGCUAAAAAUUUUAUAUUGUUAUCAAGAAAUAAGAAGAUUGAUAGUGUUAUUUGUGUUCUUGUUUUGCUAAAUUUUGUAUAUUGUUAUCAAGAAAUGAGAAGAUUGAUAGUGUGAUUAGUGUUCUUGUUUUGGUAAAUUUUGAAUAUUGUUAUCAAGAAAUGAUAAGGUUGAUAGUGUUAUUAGUGUUCUUGUUUUGCUAAAUAUUGAAUAUUGUUAUCAAGAAAUGAGAAGAUUGAUAGUGUUAUUAGUGUUCUUGUUAUCAAGAAACGAAUUUUGUAUAUUGUUAUCGAGAAAUGAGAAGAUUGAUAUUUUAUAGUGUUCUUGUUUGCUAAAUUUUGUAUAUUGUUAAUCAAGAAUGAAAGAUGAUAGUGUUUAUUAAGUGUUCUUUUUUUUCUAAUUUUGUAUAUUUUUAUCAAGAAAUGAGAAGAUGAUAGUGUUAUUAAUGUUCUUGUUGCUAAAUUUGUAUUUUAUUAUCAAGAAAUGAGAAGAUUGCCUAGUGUAUUAAGUGUUCUGUUACUAAAUUUUGUAAUAUUGUUAUCAAGACAAUGAGAAGAAUUGAUAGUGUUAUUAUGUUCUUGUUUUGGCUAAAUUUUGUAUAUUGUUUAUGCAGAAAUGAGUGAUUGAUAGUGUUAUUAGUGUUUCUUGCGUUUUUGCUAAAUUUUGUUUAUUGUUAUCGAAAAAAAUGGGAAAGAAAGAUUUGAUAGAAAUUUAAGUCUUGUUUUCUAAAAAAAGUUUUUAUUUGUUAUCAGAUUAAAGAGAUUGGGAAGUGUUAUUAUUUCUUGUUUUGGCUAAAAUUUUGUAUAUUGUUUCAAGAAAUAGAAGAUUGAUAAGUGUUAUUAGUGUUCUUGUUUUGCUAAAAUUUUGUAUAUUGUUUAUCAAGAAAUGAGAAGAUUGAUAGGUUAUUAGUGUUCUGUUGUUUUUUACUAAUAUUUAGUAUAGUUGUUAUGCAAAAGAAAUGAGAAGAUUGAAGUGUUAUUAGUCUUCUUGUUUUGCUAAUUUGUAUAUUGUUAUCAAGAAAUGAGAAGAUUGAUAGUGUUAUUAGUGUCUCUUGUUUUGCUAAAUUUUGUAUAUUGUUAUUAUCAGAAACUGAGUAAGAUUGAUAGUGUUAUUAUUUCUGUUUUGCUAAUUAAUGUAUAUUGUUAUCAAGAAAUGAGAAGAUUGAUAUUGGUUAUUAGUGUUCUUGUUUGCGAAUUUUGUAUAUUGUUAUUAGAAAUGAGAGAUUGAAAUAGUGCUUAUUUGUGUUCUUGUUUGCUAAUUUUGUAUUAAUUGUUUAUCAAGAAAUGAGAGAUUGAUAGUGUUAUUAGUGUUCUUGUUUUCUAAAUUUUGUAUAUUGUUAAUCAAGAAAUGAGAAGAUUGAUAGUGUUAUUAGUGUUUAUUGUUUUGCUAAAAUUUUGUAUAAUUGUUAUCAAGAAAUAAGAAGAUGAUAGUGUUUAUUAGUGGUUUUCUUGUUUUGCUAAAUUUUUGUAUAUUGUUAUCAAAGAAAUGAGAAAUGAUUUUGGAUAGUGUUUAUUAGUGUUCUUGCUUUUGCCUAAGUUCUUAUAUGAAUUGUUUUAUCAGAAAUGAGAAAGAUUGAACAAGGGUUAAUUAAGUUCAUGUUUUGCUAAAUUUUGUAUAGUUGUUAUCAGAUGAGAAGACUUGAUAGUUGUUAUUAGUGUUCCUUGUUUUGCUAAAUUUUUGAUAUAUUGUUAUCAGAAAUGAAGAAGAUUGUAGUGUUUAUUAGUGUUCUGGUUUUGCUAAAUUUGUUUUAUUGUUUAUCAGAAAUGAGAAAAAGAUUGAUAAGUGUUAUUAGUGUUCUGUUUUGCUAAAUUUUGUAUAUUUUUAUCAAGAAAUGAGAAGAUUGAUAGUGUUAUUAGUGUUCUUGUUUUGCUAAAUUUUGUAUAUUGUUAUCAAGAAAUGAGAAGAUUGAUAGUGUUAUUAGUGUUCUUGUUUUGCUAAAUUUUGUAUAUUGUUAUCAAGAAAUGAGAAGAUUGAUAGUGUUAUUAGUGUUCUUGUUUUGCUAAAUUUUGUAUAUUGUUAUCAAGAAAUGAGAAGAUUGAUAGUGUUAUUAGUGUUCUUGUUUUGCUAAAUUUUGUAUAUUGUUAUCAAGAAAUGAGAAGAUUGAUAGUGUUAUUAGUGUUCUUGUUUUGCUAAAUUUUGUAUAUUGUUAUCAAGAAAUGAGAAGAUUGAUAGUGUUAUUAGUGUUCUUGUUUUGCUAAAUUUUGUAUAUUGUUAUCAAGAAAUGAGAAGAUUGAUAGUGUUAUUAGUGUUCUUGUUUUGCUAAAUUUUGUAUAUUGUUAUCAAGAAAUGAGAAGAUUGAUAGUGUUAUUAGUGUUCUUGUUUUGCUAAAUUUUGUAUAUUGUUAUCAAGAAAUGAGAAGAUUGAUAGUGUUAUUAGUGUUCUUGUUUUGCUAAAUUUUGUAUAUUGUUAUCAAGAAAUGAGAAGAUUGAUAGUGUUAUUAGUGUUCUUGUUUUGCUAAAUUUUGUAUAUUGUUAUCAAGAAAUGAGAAGAUUGAUAGUGUUAUUAGUGUUCUUGUUUUGCUAAAUUUUGUAUAUUGUUAUCAAGAAAUGAGAAGAUUGAUAGUGUUAUUAGUGUUCUUGUUUUGCUAAAUUUUGUAUAUUGUUAUCAAGAAAUGAGAAGAUUGAUAGUGUUAUUAGUGUUCUUGUUUUGCUAAAUUUUGUAUAUUGUUAUCAAGAAAUGAGAAGAUUGAUAGUGUUAUUAGUGUUCUUGUUUUGCUAAAUUUUGUAUAUUGUUAUCAAGAAAUGAGAAGAUUGGUAGUGUUAUUAGUGUUCUUGUUUUGCUAAAUUUUGUAUAUUGUUAUCAAGAAAUGAGAAGAUUGAUAGUGUUAUUAGUGUUCUUGUUUUGCUAAAUUUUGUAUAUUGUUAUCAAGAAAUGAGAAGAUUGAUAGUGUUAUUAGUGUUCUUGUUUUGCUAAAUUUUGUAUAUUGUUAUCAAGAAAUGAGAAGAUUGAUAGUGUUAUUAGUGUUCUUGUUUUGCUAAAUUUUGUAUAUUGUUAUCAAGAAAUGAGAAGAUUGAUAGUGUUAUUAGUGUUCUUGUUUUGCUAAAUUUUGUAUAUUGUUAUCAAGAAAUGAGAAGAUUGAUAGUGUUAUUAGUGUUCUUGUUUUGCUAAAUUUUGUAUAUUGUUAUCAAGAAAUGAGAAGAUUGAUAGUGUUAUUAGUGUUCUUGUUUUGCUAAAUUUUGUAUAUUGUUAUCAAGAAAUGAGAAGAUUGAUAGUGUUAUUAGUGUUCUUGUUUUGCUAAAUUUUGUAUAUUGUUAUCAAGAAAUGAGAAGAUUGAUAGUGUUAUUAGUGUUCUUGUUUUGCUAAAUUUUGUAUAUUGUUAUCAAGAAAUGAGAAGAUUGAUAGUGUUAUUAGUGUUCUUGUUUUGCUAAAUUUUGUAUAUUGUUAUCAAGAAAUGAGAAGAUUGAUAGUGUUAUUAGUGUUCUUGUUUUGCUAAAUUUUGUAUAUUGUUAUCAAGAAAUGAGAAGAUUGAUAGUGUUAUUAGUGUUCUUGUUUUGCUAAAUUUUGUAUAUUGUUAUCAAGAAAUGAGAAGAUUGAUAGUGUUAUUAGUGUUCUUGUUUUGCUAAAUUUUGUAUAUUAUUAUCAAGAAAUAAGAAGAUUGAUAGGGUUAUUAGUGUUCUUGUUUUGCUAAAUUUUGUAUAUUGUUAUCAAGAAAUGAGAAAAUUGAUAGUGUUAUUAGUGUUCUUGUUUUGCUAAAUUUUUUUUAUUGUUAUCAAGAAAUGAGAAGAUUGAUAGUUUUAUUUGUGUUCUUGUUUUGCUAAAUUUUGUAUAUUGUUAUCAAGAAAUGAGAAGAUUGAUAGUGUUAUUAGUGUUCUUAGUGUUCUUAAUUUUGUAUAUUGUUAUCAAGAAAUAGGAAGGUUGAUAGUGUUAUUAGUGUUCUUGUUUUGCUUAAUUUUGUAUAUUGUUAUCAAGAAAUGAGAAGAUUGAUAGUGUUAUUUGUGUGCUUGUUAUUAAGAAACGUUUGACGCUGACCCUUUAGCAAAAUCUCUCAAAAAUGAAAGGCAUUGCCAUGGGGAAUUCUCCAUGGCUUCUAUUUAGUCAAAUAAGAAUAUGGAAUAUCACAACC
Molecule: long non-coding RNA, 15770 nt
Filed under: Lathyrus oleraceus (garden pea)
Lineage: Eukaryota; Viridiplantae; Streptophyta; Magnoliopsida; Fabales; Fabaceae
Description: Pisum sativum (pea) long non-coding RNA (PSAT_LNC040001)
Source: RNAcentral